Molecule: non-coding RNA, 29 nt
Filed under: Mus musculus (house mouse)
Lineage: Eukaryota; Metazoa; Chordata; Mammalia; Rodentia; Muridae
Source: RNAcentral
UAGGUUGGUCCAUUCAAAGGCAAAUUUGC